CGCCCGCCUUGGCCUCCCAAAGUGCUGGGAUUACAGGCGUGAGCCACCGUGCCCGGUCUGGACUUACUUUAUUAUAUGUUAUAGACAUGUAAUUACAUAUUUUGUAUAGUUGACCACACAGAAACAGGCACUUAGGUCUCCGUCCCUCUAGCCAUUUCUCAACCGUCUCGACCGGCGAGUUUUCGUUGAGGCGAGGGAGCGCUCGCUCCCACAGGUUCGAGGGCUGGGCGGAGCCUUGGGAAACGGGCCCUGGUAAUCUCCGCUCAGUGAGUGGCGCUGCGAAGCUGCUUCUGCCCGGGAAGGAGGAGAGGGGCCUGGAACCGCCGAGGGAACCACCAGUUCCGACGCCCUGGGGUUGUGCCCUCAGUCUCUUGCCUCAGCACCUGGGUAGGUUUCCGCCUACAUGUAACCAGUGACUUCAAAUAUUCUGUUUUAUCUAAGAAGUACAACGAAGGUCAUGAGAAGCCUGAGUAGGCCUGAACUACAGCUGCCUGGGCACCAUAGUGAAGGUUAUAGGAUAAGCCCAUGCCCAGACAAACCUAGAUAACGGACAUCUGGGUUACUUGGCAACAGUCAUGUGCAAUCCUGUCUUUGUCCUGCCUCUGUAUUGCUGCUUUUCACACCACUGUAAGCUUGCUUCAAGCUAGCCCACCACCUUCUGUGAAGUAUGUAUAAAAGUCAGAUGCUGUCUUUGUUCCGGGCCCAGUCUUUUGGACGUUGAGUCAGCUGGGCCUGAGUGCACUCAAUAAAGAUUCUAGUUUCAACCUGAGGUCUCUCUCGUCCUCCUGAAUCCUGCAACAUUUCCAGUAGAGACAGGAUUUCACCAUGUUGGCCAGACUGGCCUCAAACGCCUGACAUCAAGUGAUCUGCCCACCUCUACCUCUCAAAGUGCUGGGAUUACAUGCGUGAGCCACCAUGCUCUACCGUUUUCUUCCCUUUUUAAACAGAAUAAAACUCAUUAUGUCUUGCAAUGACCAUAUAGAUCUAUUGGUAGGCCCUCUUAUAACCUGUCAGCACCAUCCAGCCAAAGGCCACCAGGAACACACCUGUCAUGACAUGAGUUAGCUUUGAGGGAGAACGUUUUGCAUGCCACGGGGAACUGUGGGGCAAAUAAGUAAGAGGGUGUCAGGGAUGGUUUAUUACAGGAUUUGGGCAUGUGUUAGGUGGUUUGAGGAGUCCUUUCUCUGGGAUGCUCUCAGGAAGUGGGGGUAAUUCUAUGAUUGAGGAUCUUAACAAAUUUCACCAAGAAGGAGGGAAGAGUAGAGGAAGGCCAAAGCCGUAAUUGGCUAAAGUAGCAGCAGUCGAUCCUAUUAGCCAGGACAUGGGGUAUGGCCUGGCUGUGAAUCCCAGACCCACUUCUGGUUCUGCUUUUCUCUUUCCAAAAAUCCAAGACAUAUUGUGGGAUCUUAGCGGUCUUACUUCUUCUGCAUCUUGAAAUGAUUUGCUAUUUCAUCAUCCUGGGAAAUCUUCUGUAGUUAAUUCAUUGAUUCCCAAAAAUGACUUAAGAGUCUUCAAGAGGCCAGGCACGGUGGCUUAUGCCUUAAUCCCAGCACUUUGGGAGGCCGAGGCGGGCGGAUCAUGAGGUCAGGAGUUUGAGACCAGCCUGGCCAACAUAGUGAAACUGUGUCUCUACUAAAAAUACAAAAAUUAGCCGGGCAUGGUGGUGCAUGCCUAUAAUCCCAGCUACUCAGGAGGCUGAGGCAGGAGAAUCGCUUGAAUCUGAGAGGCGGAGGUUGCAGUGAGAGGAUUGUGCCACUGCACUGCAGCCUGGGUGACAGAUUGAGACUCUCUCAAAAAAAAAAAAAAAAAAAAAGAGGUGUAAGAAUUAAAGAGGAAAGAAACAUGAAAGGGGAUGGGCAGUGGGGAAGUGGAGUAACAUGUACCACAGAGUAACAGAGGGAGGGGUGGUAGAAGGUGAUUGGAGAGUGUGACCCUGGAAGUGGAUGGUGGAUGGCGUUAUGGCAUCAGCAAUGACAAGAUCUAGACUUAGACCAGGGAAGUGAGUGGCUGGGGUACGUAAGGCCUAGGUCAAGGAACUGGGGAACUGGGUGUCAACUGAUGACAGGAGUUAUGUUGGAAAGUGAGCCAGGAGCUAAAACCUUCAAGGAAUAAGUAAGUGUUGGCAUGAGUGUGACUGGCCACCAGGACAGAUGACAGCAAUAAAGGGAGGUAGUGGGCAGUAUGGGUACAAGGCACAAUGGAAUGAGGGGUGGGGAGAACCAACAGAGAAAGGAAAGCAAUCAAUGUCCUUAGUGGAGGAUAAAGCGAAAGAAGAAAGGAGGCUGGGAAUAGGGAGGACAGCAGGAAAAUGAGCAAGGUUUCAGGAAUCAGACACGGGAUAAGAGAUGAAGCUUCUUGUGCCUGACCCACACAGAGCAGAAAUGCAGAACUUCAGGGUCAUUCUACAGUGAGUGGCAGAUACAUGGAAGACAGCUGCAGCAUUAGUUCUUUGCACUCACUACCUGGGGGAUGUCACCUCUGUCCAAGUAUAAUGCCCAGGGGGUUCUCCUUGCCUGCUGCCUAAACAGAGCUGAUUCAUCAGAACAGGGGAAUUGCAAUAGAGAAAGAGUAAUUUGGCUGGGUGCAGUGGCUCACACCUGUAAUCCCAGCACUUUGGGAGGCCAAGGCAGGUGAAUCACCUAAGGUCAGGAGUUUGAGACCAACCUGGCCAACACAGUGAAACCCUGUCUGUACUAAAAAUACCAAAAAUUAGCCGGGCGUGGUGGCACGUGCCUAUAAUCCCAGCUAUUGGGGAGGCUGAGGCAGGAGAAUCGCUUGAACCUGAGAGGCGGAGGAUGCUGUGAGCCAAGAUCCUGCCAUUGCACUCCAGCCUGGGCAACGAAAGUGAAACUCCAUCUCAAAAAAGAAAGAGUAAUUCACGCAGGGCUGGCUGUGUGGGAGACCGGAGUUUUAUUAUUACCCAAAUCAGUCUACC
Molecule: long non-coding RNA, 2935 nt
Filed under: Homo sapiens (human)
Lineage: Eukaryota; Metazoa; Chordata; Mammalia; Primates; Hominidae
Description: HSALNT0240992
Source: RNAcentral